AGAGUUUGAUCAUGGCUCAGGACAAACGCUGGCGGCGUGCCUAACACAUGCAAGUCGCACGGAGGCUUAUGCGGUUUCGGCCGGAUGGGUCUGAGUGGCGGACGGGUGAGUAACACGUGGAUAACCUGCCCUGGUGUGGGGGAUAGCCUGCAGAAAUGCGGGAUAAUACCGCAGUGGGGGUACGAGAGGGGGAGCUCUCUGGUACCGCAAAGUUUUCAGAGGGGCAAGACUCUGGAGGCGCACGAGGAGGGGUCCGCGGCCGAUUAGCUAGUUGGGGGGGUAAGAGCCUCCCAAGGCGACGAUCGGUAGCUGGUCAGAGAGGAUGGUCAGCCACACUGGGAUUGAGAACGGCCCAGACUCCUACGGGGGGCAGCAGUGAGGGAUCUUCGGCAAUGGGGGCAACCCUGACCGAGCAACGCCGCGUGCGGGACGACGCCUUUCGGGGUGUAAACCGCUUUUCUGGGGGACGAGGGAGUACGGACGGUACCCCAGGAAGAAGUCUCGGCUAACUACGUGCCAGCCGCCGCGGUAAUUC
RNAcentral lists this ribosomal RNA (535 nucleotides) under uncultured bacterium. RNAcentral's name for it is "bacterial SSU rRNA". It matches the Rfam family "Bacterial small subunit ribosomal RNA", at positions 8 to 526 of the family's 1533-position model. The record is from RNAcentral.